GUGUGUGUUCUGGUCGACAGGAAAGAAAAAAGGGUUUCAAGAACCCUAACACAAACUUGAUCAAUUGGAGGAAAAAUUAAGGGCUAAUCACUGCAUGAUUAUGAAAUUGUAAUGUACUUUACUAUCUCAUGAUUAGGUAAGUCUCAAAUUUUGUUUUUGUUAGAAUGCCUAUGAUGGAGAAAUUCUUGAUUGAGUAUGUUGGUGAUGGUUUAGCUUGUAUUGGGUAAAAUUGAUGUUUAUGGAGGAUUAGGAACAUCAAUCUACCAUUAGUAAGAUUAAAAUUAGUGAAUUGUUCAUGAUUAGUAUACAACAUGCUUUAGGAAGUUGUACUUUAUGCUAAGAAUGACUUAUGCACACUAGGUGUUUGAUGAAAUGCCUAGAUGAGCCAAGAAUUUUGGUUACUAUGUAAAUGGAGACUAGUUGCUAUGAUGCAUGUUUUGAUGUCCUAGCUUAAAUCUGAUUCAUGUUAGAUCAUAUUUAAACCGUAAAGAGUCGUAUCAUAAUGUGAUUAGCAUGUUUAAAAUGCAUUGAAUGAAUUGAGACAUGAGAAAUCCAUAGAUGAGGUAGUCGUUAUGUUAUGAUGACUAACUAAUCAAGUGUGGUGAAUGUUGUAUCAAGUUGAUCCUAUCAAGCUAGGUGAAAGCUUGGACGAAGCGGGUCACGAGCUAAUGGAGUGCGGGACUUCUAAAUGACAAAUAAAGGCGACUCGUUUGAUAAGGCGGAUGAUAAGGUUGGGGGCUAUACACGACUUAAAGGGAAGAUCUAAGGUGUAGUUGGCGAUAGUCCGGAUGGCGAUCAAGCAAGAUUUCAAUUACCGAACACAACACUUGAAGCUUCUGCGUUAUUAUAUUUUGGUUUAACUAAAUAUGAACAUGUAACUUUUGAUGUCACUUUUAGAACGUCUUAAACUAGUAGGGAUGUUAAUCCUAAGUACUCUAAUCAUGUAUGGAUGUUAAACUUAACAAUUUUUGUUAACCCGUAUUUUACGCAAACUAAAUGCGUAUU
RNAcentral lists this long non-coding RNA (1005 nucleotides) under Helianthus annuus (common sunflower). RNAcentral describes it as "hypothetical non coding rna". Lineage: Eukaryota; Viridiplantae; Streptophyta; Magnoliopsida; Asterales; Asteraceae. The record is from RNAcentral.